ACGUAGGUGGCAAGCGUUGUCCGGAUUUAUUGGGUUUAAAGGGUGCGUAGGCGGCUUUUCAAGCGUGCGGUGAAAGCUCGGGGCUUAACUCCGAGUCUGCCGUGCGAACUGGGAGGCUUGAGUCUGGUAGAGGUCGAUGGAAUUCCGGGUGUAGCGGUGGAAUGCGUAGAGAUCCGGAAGAACACCGGUGGCGAAGGCGGUCGACUGGGCCAGUACUGACGCUGAGGCGCGACAGCGUGGGGAGCAAACAGGA
This 253-nucleotide ribosomal RNA is filed under the name uncultured prokaryote. RNAcentral's name for it is "partial 16S ribosomal RNA". It matches the Rfam family "Bacterial small subunit ribosomal RNA", at positions 525 to 777 of the family's 1533-position model. The record is from RNAcentral.